GAUUAAUGUUUUUUGCAGCUAUCAUAUCAAAUUGUUGAUGCACUAAUUUGGCUUGGAAUAUGGGACAUUAUAAAUGAGUUUAGGAAGAAAAAAUUGAAGCUGAGACCUGUGACAUAUUUAAGUGGUUCUUAUAGUUCCCCAGAUGUACCUUAUGGAUAUCUUUGGAGUCCUCAUCUUGUUCCCAAACCGAAAGUGAUUGGAUCUGCAUCUGAUUUGCCUAAAAUUUUACCUUCUAAAUACCUUGUGGGUCUUUCCCUGUGUUUCUGCAACAUGUGGUCUCUUUUACCAUCCACAUUGUGUUGCAAAACUGCUCCACCGUAAGAGUGCAGCUGAGGCAGAAGAGCUUCGGAAGAAGAUAGCUGCUGGGGAAUUUUUCACAUGUCCCAUUCAUAAAUGCGUUAUCUGCAAACUGGGUGAAAAUAAGUUGGAACCUGAUUUGCAAUUUGCAGUUUGCAAUUUGCAGUUUGCAGACAUUGUUCCAAGUCGCACCACAGAAAAUGCUUGCCGGGGAAUAUUACUUUUGAAGAUCUGGAGGAUGAGGACAUCCUGCAAAGGGCUUGGGAAGGUCUUAUUCCAAACCGUAUUUUGAUUUAUUACUUAGAACAUGAGAUUGAUGAUGAAAUUAGAACUCCAAGUAGAAACCACAUAAAGUUCCCAGAUGAUGGACAAAAUAAGGAAAGACAAGCAUUAGAGCUA
Molecule: non-coding RNA, 696 nt
Organism: Camellia sinensis
Lineage: Eukaryota; Viridiplantae; Streptophyta; Magnoliopsida; Ericales; Theaceae
Source: RefSeq, a predicted model, not a curated record